This 253-nucleotide ribosomal RNA is filed under the name uncultured bacterium. Its description in RNAcentral is "partial 16S ribosomal RNA". It matches the Rfam family "Bacterial small subunit ribosomal RNA", at positions 524 to 776 of the family's 1533-position model. The record is from RNAcentral.
UACGAGUGCCCCGAGCGUUAUCCGGAAUCAUUGGGCGUAAAGGGUGUGUAGGUGGUUGUGUUAGUCGUUUGUUAAAACCUGGGGCUUAACCUCAGACUUGCGAACGAAACGGCACGACUAGAGGAUGGCAGGGAUGUAUGGAACUCAUGGAGUAGGGGUGAAAUCCGUUGAUAUCAUGGGGAACACCAAAAGCGAAGGCAGUACAUUGGGCCACUCCUGACACUGAAACACGAAAGCGUGGGUAGCGAAUGGG